Molecule: long non-coding RNA, 329 nt
Filed under: Elaeis guineensis (African oil palm)
Lineage: Eukaryota; Viridiplantae; Streptophyta; Magnoliopsida; Arecales; Arecaceae
Description: long non-coding RNA (EGUI_LNC082730)
Source: RNAcentral
GGAUCACCAUAGUAACUUGCAAGCAACUCACUGUAUUUUGAUGUUAGACUAUCUAAGUUUAUAAUUCAGUGAUGAAAGAUUUUUGGAUACCGUCAAGUACUGGUCAACUCAAUAUGUGAGUCAAGAUGGAAUUGACCCUUCUGAAUUAGUAGAGUUAAUGUAUCAAUGUAUUUUAAUUUAGCAAAACCUAAGCUUGGAUAAUCUAUGUGAUGGAUUUAAAAAUUAAAAUAUAAUGUGGAUGAUUUAUCUAAGAUUGACAGUUAAAUCCUAGGUCAUCUUCGAGCAUUAGAGUCAAAUGAAUUAUACGGUAACCAUAUGUCAAUAGGUUC